Molecule: long non-coding RNA, 204 nt
Filed under: Lathyrus oleraceus (garden pea)
Lineage: Eukaryota; Viridiplantae; Streptophyta; Magnoliopsida; Fabales; Fabaceae
Description: Pisum sativum (pea) long non-coding RNA (PSAT_LNC032425)
Source: RNAcentral
UCACCGAGCCUGCCAUAUAAUGUCUAAUUGUAAAAAAUUUGUAAAGAUUUUGAUGAUAGCUCUCAAUAGUGUUUCUUUUUUUUCCCAAACAAUUGCAUUAGGGAGGAACUCAGUCUCUCACUUGUGGGUUUCCUAAAUACUCAAAAUAGCAUUAAAUACAUAUAUGAUAAGUUAAACUACUAACAUAAGAAAUGCAUAAAAUAU